RNAcentral lists this long non-coding RNA (747 nucleotides) under Ictidomys tridecemlineatus (thirteen-lined ground squirrel). Its description in RNAcentral is "lncRNA (ENSSTOG00000030820.1)". Lineage: Eukaryota; Metazoa; Chordata; Mammalia; Rodentia; Sciuridae. The record is from RNAcentral.
AGCUGGACCUGUAGUCAGCCUACUGGGAUUUCAAGUGAAAUCGGACACGACUCUGACAAUUGCUAUUUCUGCCAACAACACCCAAUGUGUCAACCUCGAGGUCCAGGAAACUCAUAUCAAUGUCAAGAAAGUGACCCUUCAGAUAGAAGAGAUGAUCACAGGCAUUGUGCCUGUGCCUAUCCCUAUACCUUUGCCCUUGGGAGACCUCAUCCUUCAACUGUUGUCAGUGGAGCUGAAUAAAAAGGUAAGUGCUGGGGAGGAGGGGGCACCCCCUCAAAGGCCCGCACCAUUAGGGUUACAUGAGGAGAAGCCUUGCCUCAGAGGGCCUGACGCUGAGAAAGACUUAGGAAGGAGGCCCAGGCCCUCCAGAGACCCUCACUAUGGGACAAGCAGGACCUCUGGCCAAAAUGGCUCACCAGCAAGAAGAUGACCCCUGAGGGAGGGAGGGAUUACUUCUGCCAAGGAGGCCAAGAAAAUAGGAGCGGGAAAGGGAAGGAGGACAGGGAAGAAAAGGAGGUGGGCUGAGGGAGACGGCUAAGGUGGCGCUCGGUUGGGAAAGUCCUGGGGAUGACUUCACAGGUGCAAGAAACGGACUCCUGUGACAUUGUUCUCAAUGACUUCAACGACUGCAAGAACUGUGAGUACAAAUGCUCACCUCCUUGGGGAAGCCACCAUCAGUGGAGAGAGAUGGUCGAGGUUUCUUAAGGGAUUCCCCGGGGUGACCAACCAGAGGGCUGGAGGCUCUGA